CGAUGAACCGCUUUCGGGCGGGGAUUAGUGGCGAACGGGUGAGUAACACGUGGGCAAUCUGCCCUGCACUCUGGGACAAGCCCUGGAAACGGGGUCUAAUACCGGAUAUGACUGUCCAUCGCAUGGUGGAUGGUGUAAAGCUCCGGCGGUGCAGGAUGAGCCCGCGGCCUAUCAGCUUGUUGGUGAGGUAGUGGCUCACCAAGGCGACGACGGGUAGCCGGCCUGAGAGGGCGACCGGCCACACUGGGACUGAGACACGGCCCAGACUCCUACGGGAGGCAGCAGUGGGGAAUAUUGCACAAUGGGCGAAAGCCUGAUGCAGCGACGCCGCGUGAGGGAUGACGGCCUUCGGGUUGUAAACCUCUUUCAGCAGGGAAGAAGCGAAAGUGACGGUACCUGCAGAAGAAGCGCCGGCUAACUACGUGCCAGCAGCCGCGGUAAUACGUAGGGCGCAAGCGUUGUCCGGAAUUAUUGGGCGUAAAGAGCUCGUAGGCGGCUUGUCACGUCGGUUGUGAAAGCCCGGGGCUUAACCCCGGGUCUGCAGUCGAUACGGGCAGGCUAGAGUUCGGUAGGGGAGAUCGGAAUUCCUGGUGUAGCGGUGAAAUGCGCAGAUAUCAGGAGGAACACCGGUGGCGAAGGCGGAUCUCUGGGCCGAUACUGACGCUGAGGAGCGAAAGCGUGGGGAGCGAACAGGAUUAGAUACCCUGGUAGUCCACGCCGUAAACGGUGGGCACUAGGUGUGGGCAACAUUCCACGUUGUCCGUGCCGCAGCUAACGCAUUAAGUGCCCCGCCUGGGGAGUACGGCCGCAAGGCUAAACUCAAAGGAAUUGACGGGGGCCCGCACAAGCGGCGGA
Molecule: ribosomal RNA, 855 nt
Filed under: Streptomyces sp. DST13
Lineage: Bacteria; Bacillati; Actinomycetota; Actinomycetes; Kitasatosporales; Streptomycetaceae
Description: bacterial SSU rRNA
Rfam family: Bacterial small subunit ribosomal RNA
Source: RNAcentral